UAUGAACCGUUAUAACCGGCGAUUUCCGAAUGGGGAAACCCAGUGUGACUCGUCACACUAUCAUUAACUGAAUCCAUAGGUUAAUGAGGCGAACCGGGGGAACUGAAACAUCUAAGUACCCCGAGGAAAAGAAAUCAACCGAGAUUCCCCCAGUAGCGGCGAGCGAACGGGGAGGAGCCCAGAGCCUGAAUCAGCAUGUGUGUUAGUGGAAGCGUCUGGAAAGGCGCGCGAUACAGGGUGACAGCCCCGUACACAAAAGCGCAUGUGCUGUGAGCUCGAUGAGUAGGGCGGGACACGUGGUAUCCUGUCUGAAUAUGGGGGGACCAUCCUCCAAGGCUAAAUACUCCUGACUGACCGAUAGUGAACCAGUACCGUGAGGGAAAGGCGAAAAGAACCCCGGCGAGGGGAGUGAAAAAGAACCUGAAACCGUGUACGUACAAGCAGUGGGAGCCCCACCACUAAGCCAGUGGUGAACUCCACAUACGCAUCCUUUGCUGAGGAUACGGUUAACGGAGCGAAAGCGA
Molecule: ribosomal RNA, 524 nt
Filed under: Salmonella enterica subsp. enterica serovar Ealing
Lineage: Bacteria; Pseudomonadati; Pseudomonadota; Gammaproteobacteria; Enterobacterales; Enterobacteriaceae
Description: partial 23S ribosomal RNA
Rfam family: Bacterial large subunit ribosomal RNA
Source: RNAcentral